Molecule: ribosomal RNA, 681 nt
Filed under: uncultured organism
Description: bacterial SSU rRNA
Rfam family: Bacterial small subunit ribosomal RNA
Source: RNAcentral
GCUGAUACUGACGCUGAGGCACGAAAGCGUGGGGAGCGAACAGGAUUAGAUACCCUGGUAGUCCACGCUGUAAACGAUGAUCACUCGCUGUUGGCAAUACAUCGUCAGCGGCUGAGCGAAAGCAUUAAGUGAUCCACCUGGGGAGUACGUCGGCAACGAUGAAACUCAAAGGAAUUGACGGGGGCCCGCACAAGCGGUGGAACAUGUGGUUUAAUUCGAUGAUACGCGAGGAACCUUACCUGGGCUUAAAUGCAGAACGACGGUUCCCGAAAGGGAUCCUUCUUCGGACGGACUGCAAGGUGCUGCAUGGUUGUCGUCUGCUCGUGCCGUGAGGUGUCGGGUUAAGUCCCAUAACGAGCGCAACCCCUAUUGUUAGUUGCCAGCGAGUAAUGUCGGGGACUCUAACGAAACUGCCGGUGUAAACCGAGAGGAAGGUGGGGAUGACGUCAAAUCAGCACGGCCCUUAUGUCCAGGGCUACACACGUGUUACAAUGGUCGAUACAGAGAGAAGCUACUUGGCGACAAGAUGCUAAUCUCGAAAAUCGUUCUUAGUUCGGAUUGGAGUCUGCAACUCGACUUCAUGAAGCUGGAAUCGCUAGUAAUCGCACAUCAGCCAUGGUGCGGUGAAUACGUUCCCGGGCAUUGUACACACCGCCCGUCAAGCCAUGGAAGCCGGGGGUA